Molecule: long non-coding RNA, 1177 nt
Organism: Juglans microcarpa x Juglans regia
Lineage: Eukaryota; Viridiplantae; Streptophyta; Magnoliopsida; Fagales; Juglandaceae
Exons: 2
Source: RefSeq, a predicted model, not a curated record
ACCUGGGACAACACUCUGUGAUAGCUUUAGCAGAUUCUAAGCAUUGUAGGUUUUUUUUUGUGAUUUGGCAAGUCUAUGAUAUGCAUACAUAUCUAGUCUGGAAUAUUUGUAUUUUAUACAACCAAUGUGAUAACUCUUGUGCUGUUAGCCCAAACCAAUUGUAUGCAUUAGCCUUGGUAAAAAAAUUUCAGAUCUCUCAUGCAAACCAGUGGCAUGACCACGUUAGUAAAUCCCAUAUUAAAUACCUGUUAGUUAACUAUUGUAAUACAAAUUCAGUAUGCUAUUGUAUAAACUGGUUUUACACAUAUAUAUCCAGUUUGCUAUUGUUUUAUUAACUUCUAUUUGCACUGCCUAAUAGCACACAUUUAUCAUGGAGAAUGUUAUAAAUCUUGUAAAUAUUAUGUUGUAGGUUGCACUUUCCUUCAUAAGUAUAGUGAAUAUUACAAAAAAAAAAAAAAAAAAAAGGAUGUGGCAAUCUGUAAAGGGAGGAAGGAGGUGACGAGCUGGACACAGUCGAGCAGGAUCAAGCUUGGCACGUAGAGGCCUAGAUGCAAAACAACCACCGACAAGGAAUUUACGAGAUGAGGACGCAGAUUCUAAUGAUUCAACUCAAGCAGUAUAAGAUGUGGGCCUACCAGAAAACAUGGAUGUAGAACAAGCUGCCAAGGGGAAUAUAAGUACGGGUGGACGUUGUGUUGGAUUGGACAAAAGAUAGACAUCGUGAAAUGGUUGUAACGUUUUUGGAUGAUAAGUACAAUGCAUAUCACUACGAACUACACAAGGUGUAUUUAAAAUAUGCAUCAAAUGAAAUAACUUUAUAUCAAUGAAGUUAUUACUUAUAUCAAAGAUAGGACUCCCAAUUGGUUAGAUAUAUAAUCAACACUAAAAACCAUCCAUAAUAUAAGAGAUAAUCAUCCCAUUAUAACAACCACAAACUUCAUGGAAAGUAACAUGGUCCAUCACCUUUCUUUGUAGCAUCCAGCACAUACAAUUUCAAUCAUGAAACUUCCUAAAAAAUGAUGACCUAUAUAAUAUAUAGUCCCUAACCACUGCCUAUUGUUCUAGUUUAACACCCUUAACACUUCUCACACUGCACAUAAAAAAAGUGAGGCAUUUCAAACUUCACACCCCAAUGGCAACAAGAUUGAUACAAUCUACCAAAAUAUUUACAAAAGGU